GGCUUUGUGGAAAUAGUUACUUUGAAAUUAACUUAAGAAUGUUCGACUCAUUCAAAAGCUU
This 61-nucleotide transfer RNA is filed under the name Antigona lamellaris. Its description in RNAcentral is "tRNA-Ser". Lineage: Eukaryota; Metazoa; Mollusca; Bivalvia; Venerida; Veneridae. The record is from RNAcentral.